RNAcentral lists this long non-coding RNA (1548 nucleotides) under Pelobates cultripes (western spadefoot toad). Lineage: Eukaryota; Metazoa; Chordata; Amphibia; Anura; Pelobatidae. The record is from RNAcentral.
CAUGACACCACAAAGCUACAAAACAUUCCAGCUAUACUUGAUUUUAUAUAUUUUUUGAUGUCGCAGUUGUUUAUUCAUAUAAUAUUGAUUAAACAUUUAUUUAUUCCCAUUGAUCAUUGAGUGUGUUGAAGAUGAACUUUAACUUCCAACGGACUCUUUUUACCUUAACUCCAAUUUACUAGAUGAAGUCACCAAGAAAUUACAAGCUUAUGAACGAAGACAAAAUUGAAGAUCUCUGGAGCUAUUUUAAAGGACUCUCUUCUUUUUGUGCAAUAACCUAAGUUUUGUGUAUUAUAUAUUUCUUUAAACUAGGGUUUUUCGCUGUAGUAAGAAUUUUUAGAAAUUCUAAGUGAAUUCAAAGUAAAUUUUUUUUUUUAGAGCCAAAAAUGUUGAAAUAGAAAAAUAGCAGCAAUGCUUUCAUCUCAGCAAUUUUGGCUUACAUUUUAAAAUUUAUUUUGGAUUCACUUGGAAUUCCUGAUAAUUCACAAUUUAGUGAAUUACCCUGUGUGUUAUUCCUUGUAUUUCAGGUAAAAAUUGUAAACCUAUGACAAAAAAAUAAAUAGUAGAAAAAAUAAAAUCUGUAAAUCCAUGCUUAAAGGAAAAUAUAAAAUGCUUAAUAUAAAGUAAUGCAGAAUUCUGCAGCCCAAUAUUAAGCUUAAUUUGAAAGUAUCUGUAAAAAGUAUCUAUGGCGUAUUGAGUUUUUGCACUAAAUUAAAAAUACCAAAAAGCACCUGCGGAAUAUUUUGCAGUGACAUUAGUUUUAGAGCAGACAGAAAACUGUAUUUUGCUGAAGGAUUGGCCGACGAAGUCCUUAAAGGACCACUAUAGUGCCAGGAAAACAUACUCGUUUUCCUGGCACUAUAGUGCCCUGAGGGUGCCCCCAACCUCAGGGUCCCCCUCCUGCCGGGCUAGAUGGAGAGGAAGGGGUUAAACUUACCUCUUUCUCCAGUGCCGGGCGGGGAGCUCUCCUCAUCCUCUCCUCCCUCUUCUCCUCGUCUUCGGCUGAAUGCGCAUGCGCGGCAGGAGCCGCGCGCGCAUUCAGCCAGUCCAUAGGAAAGCAUUCACAAUGCUUUCCUAUGGACGCUGGCGUCUUCUCACUGUGAUUUUCACAGUGAGAAACGCGGAAGCACCUCUAGCGGCUGUCAAUGAGACAGCCACUAGAGGCUGGAUUAACCCUAACUCAUUGUUCUUAACUCACUGUCAGAGAAACUGCUAUGUUUAUAGAAAAAAGGGUUAACCCUAGAUGGACCAGGCACCCAGACCACCUCAUUAAGCUGAAGUGGUCUGGGUGCCUAUAGUGGUCCUUUAAUAUACAGGAUUCUCUACAACAAAAGAGGAAAAAUGGCCAGAGCUCAAAACAAGACUGAUGUAUCUACCAGAUAUAGGAGAGGCAAUAAUCUGUUUUAAAUCGCAUUAUUGUUUUUUGUUUUUAGACAUUCCACAGUGGAUUAAGUCCCACUUUUCUUUCUAUAAAGUGCUAUAUUGACAAUGCAUGAAAUGAGUUAUGAGAAAAAAUAAAUAAGAAUAAAAAUAAAAUAAUUAUCCAGC